NCUGCUGACAGAGUCUAUAGAGUUAUCAGAUUUUUUGUGCGAUGGCU
This 47-nucleotide non-coding RNA is filed under the name Cavia aperea (Brazilian guinea pig). Lineage: Eukaryota; Metazoa; Chordata; Mammalia; Rodentia; Caviidae. The record is from RNAcentral.